AAAGGGUCUCGCCUGCCCAGUGGCUUAAAGCUAAACGGCCGCGGUAUCUUGACCGUGCAAAGGUAGCAUAAUCAUUUGUCUUUUAAAUGGAGACUUGUAUGAACGGCAAAACCUUUUUUAACUGUCUCUCCUUCUAUCCUUCUAAAUUUCUACUUAUGUGAAGAAGCAUAAAUACUAGAGAAAGACGAGAAGACCCUGUCGAGCUUCAGUCAGAAAGUGAAUGAAAAGAACAAUUUAACCAUGUCACCUAAAGACUUUGGUUGGGGCAACCAUGGAGAAAAAAGAUCCUCCAGAACAAAUAAAAGAAAGCUAUUCUUUAUUACAACUUCAAUUGAAGAACCAGAAACUGGACAACGGAAAAAGUUACCGCAGGGAUAACAGCGUAAUCCCCUCUAAGAGUCCUUAUUGACGAGGGGGCUUGCGACCUCGAUGUUGGAUUGGGGCAUCCUUUGGGUGCAGAAGCUCUAAACGG
RNAcentral lists this ribosomal RNA (472 nucleotides) under Holothuria pervicax. Its description in RNAcentral is "partial 16S ribosomal RNA". It matches the Rfam family "Bacterial large subunit ribosomal RNA", at positions 1847 to 2571 of the family's 2925-position model. Lineage: Eukaryota; Metazoa; Echinodermata; Holothuroidea; Aspidochirotida; Holothuriidae. The record is from RNAcentral.